RNAcentral lists this ribosomal RNA (497 nucleotides) under uncultured bacterium. RNAcentral's name for it is "partial 16S ribosomal RNA". It matches the Rfam family "Bacterial small subunit ribosomal RNA", at positions 28 to 507 of the family's 1533-position model. The record is from RNAcentral.
GAUGAACGCUGGCGGCGUGCCUAAUACAUGCAAGUCGAGCGAACAGACGAGGAGCUUGCUCCUCUGACGUUAGCGGCGGACGGGUGAGUAACACGUGGAUAACCUACCUAUAAGACUGGGAUAACUUCGGGAAACCGGAGCUAAUACCGGAUAAUAUAUUGAACCGCAUGGUUCAAUAGAGAAAGACGGUUUUGCUGUCACUUAUAGAUGGAUCCGUGCCGCAUUAGCUAGUUGGUAAGGUAACGGCUUACCAAGGCAACGAUGCGUAGCCGACCUGAGAGGGUGAUCGGCCACACUGGAACUGAGACACGGUCCAGACUCCUACGGGAGGCAGCAGUAGGGAAUCUUACGCAAUGGGCGAAAGCCUGACGGAGCAACGCCGCGUGAGUGAUGAAGGUCUUCGGAUCGUAAAACUCUGUUAUUAGGGAAGAACAAAUGUGUAAGUAACUAUGCACGUCUUGACGGUACCUAAUCAGAAAGCCACGGCUAACUACGUG